Lolium perenne is the source of this 626-nucleotide non-coding RNA. Lineage: Eukaryota; Viridiplantae; Streptophyta; Magnoliopsida; Poales; Poaceae. The record is from RefSeq and is a predicted model, not a curated record.
AAGUUCCCGAGCGGCCCGUUUACUUCUCAUGUAUUUUUGGGUAAUUUACCGGCCCAUCCCAGAACUUCCCGAUCCGGUAAGCCUCAUCCUCGCGUAUCCUCACACACGAGGGUACCCCCGUGUCUCUGGUCGUGGAAAAGGGAAGAGAGGCGACGGGCGACGGGCGGGCGACGGGCGACGGGCGACGGCGGCGACAGAGCCGACGACGGCGGGGAAAGGAGACGGCGGCGGGCAAAUCAAGACGGCGCCGACGAGAUCCUCCUCCGGCGACUGGUCCCCGCAGGAGCUAUUUUUCUUGAAAGAUGGUGUUGGCACAUUUCAACAACAAUGGCGCGCAAGAUUCUGUAGUCCUGUGUUGUCAUGUAUCUUCAGUUAGCAUUUAUCUAGUUUUCUGAAACAGCAGGAGCUAUUAUUCUUGAAAGAUGGUGUCGGCACAUUUCAACAACAAUGGCGCACAAGAUUCUGUAGUCCUGUGUUGUCAUGUAUCUUCAGUUAGCAUUUAUCGAAAAUUCACUAUCUUGGAUAUUACUUCUUGCAGUCAUUUACCAUAAUAUGUAUAACUGGGUGUUGCUGGAGCCGUCAAAUUUAGAAGUAUAUGGUAUGACUGAUUAUUGUCGUUUUUGGUA